This 980-nucleotide long non-coding RNA is filed under the name Lucilia cuprina (Australian sheep blowfly). RNAcentral describes it as "uncharacterized LOC124420153, transcript variant X2". Lineage: Eukaryota; Metazoa; Arthropoda; Insecta; Diptera; Calliphoridae. The record is from RNAcentral.
AUUGUUGUGUGUUGAAUGAUGUCUACUAGGCCCUCGGCUGUCUUCUGUAGAAGUCAUUACAGAUAAAGUUUAGUCUUCAUGCAUGGACCCCAAAGGGUCACUGGUCAGUCAUUGCUGCCGUUUAAAUCUUUAGAUUAGCUCUCGGAAUAUGAAGUACUGCUUAGGAUCGUUGUGGGUUGAAUGGAGUGCACUAGGCUUCAUCGGCUGUCUUCUGCAGAAGUCAUUACAGGACAAGUUUAGUCUUCUUGCAUGUAGUUCAAAGGGUCAGUGGCCAAUUAUUACUGCCGCUAAAAUCAGUAGAUUAACUCUCGGCAUAUGAAGUAGCAGAAUGAUGGCCACAGGAUCCUCACCUGUCUACAGGUUUGCAAAUACUCUUCCCUUCAUCUUGCCAGCACUUGCAGAAGCCAUUACUGGAUAAAUUUAGUCCUCUUGCAUGGAGCUCAAAGCGUCAGUGGUCAGUCACAACUGCCAUUAAAUUUCGUUAAUUUACUAACGGAAUAUGAAGAAGGGCUUGAGAUCGUUGUGGAUUUGUAGAUACUCUCUUCUUACUUUGCAUUCCAGCAGCUCCUGCCGAAGUCAUUACUGGAUUAACUCUCGAAAUAUGAAAAAGAUCGUUCUCCUGCAAAAAUCAUAAAUGAUGCUCACAUUACCUUCACCUAUCUACAGAUGGCCUCAGUCGAUAAUCUGCGUUCAGCAAGCUCAUACUGUUUUUCACGUAAAGAACGCUUGCAGGAUGUCCGGCAUUCCCAAACUAAAAUAGAUGUUGUGUAAACACCAUUCAGAACCAUUAAGGCUUCCUGGUUGUCCGCAUAUAUUCGAAUAUUAACGCCGUAUAUUCUAUAAAACCUGAGCCAGUUUGCAGUCCGUUUAGUAGCCGGAGUUUUCAUCCCGAAGAAGGCUACAUUGGUCAGAAAGCUUAAAGAAAACUUCCAUUAUAUAUAUAUCUUAUUUUGAAACAUCGGUAAGGCCUUACAUGAUCC